Molecule: transfer RNA, 73 nt
Organism: Lepisosteus oculatus (spotted gar)
Lineage: Eukaryota; Metazoa; Chordata; Actinopteri; Semionotiformes; Lepisosteidae
Rfam family: tRNA
About the family: Transfer RNA (tRNA) molecules are approximately 80 nucleotides in length.
Source: Rfam
CCCCAACAAGCUCUGUUGAUAGAGCAUGAGACUCAUUAUCUCGGGGUCGUGGGUUCGUGUCCCACAUUGGGUG